RNAcentral lists this small nuclear RNA (320 nucleotides) under Chlorocebus sabaeus (green monkey). Its description in RNAcentral is "7SK RNA (ENSCSAG00000026425.1)". It matches the Rfam family "7SK RNA". Rfam says of the family: 7SK was discovered as an abundant small nuclear RNA in the mid-70s but a possible function has only recently been suggested. Two independent studies have found that 7SK RNA binds the CDK9/cyclin T complex (known as elongation factor P-TEFb). The record is from RNAcentral. Lineage: Eukaryota; Metazoa; Chordata; Mammalia; Primates; Cercopithecidae.
GCAUAUGAGGGUGAUCUGGCUGCAACAUCUGCCUCCCCUUUGAUUGCCAGGGUUGAUUUGGCUGAUCUGGCUGGCUAGGCAAGUAUGCCCUUUCUCUCUCACUGCUACAUGUGCAUCCCUCCUGAAGCUGCAUUCUCAAUCAUAGAGGAUGACCAUCGCCGAUAGAGGAAGACAGGUCAAGAGUAUGCGACUAGGUGUAACUGCGCUCCCCUGCUAGAAACUCCAAACAAGCUCUCAUGUGUUUAUUGGCCAUUUGCAUAUCUUCUUUGGAGGAAUGUCUGUUCAAGAAUUUGAUCAUUUUUUAUUCAGGUUGUUUGAUU